GCCCAGGUGGCGGAAUUGGUAUACGCGUACGCUUCAGAAGCGUAUGCUUCACAGCUUGGGAGUUCAAAUCUCCCCCUGGGCA
Molecule: transfer RNA, 82 nt
Filed under: Parcubacteria group bacterium CG1_02_37_13
Lineage: Bacteria
Also listed under: 2 other names
Description: tRNA-Leu
Rfam family: tRNA
About the family: Transfer RNA (tRNA) molecules are approximately 80 nucleotides in length.
Source: RNAcentral